AUGAUGUACGCCGUCAUGGUGGGCAUCGGCACGGGGCAUCAGUCCAAGAGCUACAAACUCGCGCUAGACAUGGCGACCGGGCUGACCUGGAUGCAGUGCGCCCCGUGCCACCCCUGCCUGCGACAAUACAACCCGGUGUUCGACCCAACCCAGUCCCCGACCUUCCAUCAUGUUUCAGCGAAUGAUGGCAUUUUGUGUCAUGCACUGUACAAACCGCAUCAAAACGGUAUGUGCGGGUUCGAAGUCGGCUUCUUGAGCAGCCAUGGGUCGGCUUCGGGAGUCCUCGCCAAGGACACCUUCUCCUUCCCCAAAAGUGGCCACGAAGUUCGGUUUGAGCUACUGCCUGGCAUGGUCUUUGGUUGCGCCCACCACACCGAGCACUUCAACACCCACGAAGUCCUUGCCGGUGUCCUCGGCCUGGGAAUGUGGAAAUCCAGCAAGCCACCUACCUUCUUCACGAAGCAGAUCAAUCAAGGCGAAGGUGUGCGCUUCUCUUACUGCCCGUUCCCACCGGGGAUGAGCACGUACAACUUUCUUCGGUUUGGCAACGACAUUCCUAGCCAUCCAUUGCCAAACGUGCAUCGCCAGAGUACACCCAUUCUUAUGCCAGCCCAAGCAAACGACGGGUACUACGUCAAGCUUACUGGGGUCAGCGUGGGCGGCAUCCGGGUGUCCAGCGUCACACCAGAGAUGUUUCGGCGUGGUGCGAGAGGGAAAGGUGGGUGUGUGAUCGACAUUGGCACAAAGAUGAGUGUGUUUGUGAAUGAGGCAUACAUCCACAUAGAGUCGGCGGUGCGACACUACCUGCAGAUCCACGGGGCACAACCCGUGCAGCUGCACGGCCACCACCUAUGUGUCCACAAGUCGUCGGCCCACCGUGACGUCCUCCCGAGCAUGACGUUGCAUUUCGAUAACAACGCGGGGCUCCGGGUCAUGCCGGAGCAUGUGUUUCUCGAGAUCGUCCAUGCUAACAUCCACUAUAUGUGCAUCGCCUUCUUCCCGUCUUUGGAGUUGACAGUCAUCGGCGCAAGGCAACAGAUCAACCACCGCUUCAUCUUCGACCUUCAUGCUCGGACACCCACUAUUAGCUUCAAUCCAGAGAAUUGCCACCUCGAUGCUGGCACCCAAAGCUAA
RNAcentral lists this ribosomal RNA (1134 nucleotides) under Triticum aestivum (bread wheat). RNAcentral describes it as "partial small subunit ribosomal RNA". The record is from RNAcentral. Lineage: Eukaryota; Viridiplantae; Streptophyta; Magnoliopsida; Poales; Poaceae.